This 334-nucleotide unclassified non-coding RNA is filed under the name soil metagenome. RNAcentral's name for it is "partial contains 5.8S ribosomal RNA, internal transcribed spacer 2, and large subunit ribosomal RNA". The stretch from base 1 to 120 matches the Rfam family "5.8S ribosomal RNA", at positions 35 to 154 of the family's 154-position model. The record is from RNAcentral.
GAUGAAGAACGUAGCGAAAUGCGAUAAGUAAUGCGAAUUGCAGAAUUCAGUGAGUCAUCGAAUCUUUGAACGCACAUUGCGCCCGCCAGUAUUCUGGCGGGCAUGCCUGUUCGAGCGUCAUUUCAACCAUCAAGCCCCCGGCUUGUGUUGGGGACCUGCGGCUGCCGCAGGCCCUGAAAUGCAGUGGCGGGCUCGCUGUCACUCCGAGCGUAGUAGUUACAUCUCGCUCUGGGCGUGCUGCGGGUUCCGGCCGUUAAAAGCCUUAUUUACCCAAGGUUGACCUCGGAUCAGGUAGGAAGACCCGCUGAACUUAAGCAUAUCAAUAAGCGGAGGA